Molecule: ribosomal RNA, 491 nt
Filed under: uncultured bacterium
Lineage: Bacteria
Description: partial 16S ribosomal RNA
Rfam family: Bacterial small subunit ribosomal RNA
Source: RNAcentral
AGUGAACGCUGGCGGUAGGCCUAACACAUGCAAGUCGAACGGCAGCACAGUAAGAGCUUGCUCUUACGGGUGGCGAGUGGCGGACGGGUGAGGAAUACAUCGGAAUCUACUUUUUCGUGGGGGAUAACGUAGGGAAACUUACGCUAAUACCGCAUACGACCUACGGGUGAAAGCAGGGGAUCUUCGGACCUUGCGCGAUUGAAUGAGCCGAUGUCGGAUUAGCUAGUUGGCGGGGUAAAGGCCCACCAAGGCGACGAUCCGUAGCUGGUCUGAGAGGAUGCUCAGCCACACUGGAACUGAGACACGGUCCAGACUCCUACGGGAGGCAGCAGUGGGAAUAUUGGACAAUGGGCGCAAGCCUGAUCCAGCCAUACCGCGUGGGUGAAGAAGGCCUUCGGGUUGUAAAGCCCUUUUGUUGGGAAAGAAAAGCAGCAGGUUAAUACCCCGCUGUUCUGACGGUACCCAAAGAAUAAGCACCGGCUAACUUCGUG